CCUGCCCUUCAGAGGGGACAACAGUUGGAAACGACUGCUAAUACCGCAUACGAUCUAAUCUCGGCAUCGAGGAUAGAUGAAAGGUGGCCUCUACAUGUAAGCUAUCACUGAAGGAGGGGAUUGCGUCUGAUUAGCUAGUUGGAGGGGUAACGGCCCACCAAGGCGAUGAUCAGUAGCCGGUCUGAGAGGAUGAACGGCCACAUUGGGACUGAGACACGGCCCAGACUCCUACGGGAGGCAGCAGUGGGGAAUCUUCCGCAAUGGACGAAAGUCUGACGGAGCAACGCCGCGUGAGUGAUGACGGCCUUCGGGUUGUAAAGCUCUGUUAAUCGGGACGAAAGGCCUUCUUGCGAACAGUGAGAAGGAUUGACGGUACCGGAAUAGAAAACCACGGCUAACU
This 400-nucleotide ribosomal RNA is filed under the name Veillonella parvula. RNAcentral describes it as "bacterial SSU rRNA". It matches the Rfam family "Bacterial small subunit ribosomal RNA", at positions 125 to 502 of the family's 1533-position model. The record is from RNAcentral. Lineage: Bacteria; Bacillati; Bacillota; Negativicutes; Veillonellales; Veillonellaceae.